AUUGAACGCUGGCGGCAGGCCUAACACAUGCAAGUCGAGCGGAUGAAGGGAGCUUGCUCCUGGAUUCAGCGGCGGACGGGUGAGUAAUGCCUAGGAAUCUGCCUGGUAGUGGGGGAUAACGUCCGGAAACGGGCGCUAAUACCGCAUACGUCCUGAGGGUGAAAGUGGGGGAUCUUCGGACCUCACGCUAUCAGAUGAGCCUAGGUCGGAUUAGCCAGUUGGUGGGGUAAAGGCCUACCAAGGCGACGAUCCGUAACUGGUCUGAGAGGAUGAUCAGUCACACUGGAACGGAGACACGGUCCAGAGUCCUACGGGAGGCAGCAGUGGGGAAUAUUGGACAAUGGGCGAAAGCCUGAUCCAGCCAUGCCGCGUGUGUGAAGAAGGUCUUCGGAUUGUAAAGCACUUUAAGUUGGGAGGAAGGGCAGUAAGUUAAUACCUUGCUGUUUUGACGUUACCAACAGAAUAAGCACCGGCUAACUUCGUG
RNAcentral lists this ribosomal RNA (484 nucleotides) under uncultured bacterium. RNAcentral describes it as "partial 16S ribosomal RNA". It matches the Rfam family "Bacterial small subunit ribosomal RNA", at positions 30 to 507 of the family's 1533-position model. The record is from RNAcentral.